UACGUAGGGGGCUAGUGUUAUCCGGAUUUAUUGGGUUUAAAGGGUGCGUAGGCGGACUGUCAAGUCAGCGGUAAAAUUGAGAGGCUCAACCUCUUCCCGCCGUUGAAACUGGUGGUCUUGAGUGGAUGAGAAGUACGCGGAAUGCGUGGUGUAGCGGUGAAAUGCAUAGAUAUCACGCAGAACUCCGAUUGCGAAGGCAGCGUACCGGCAUCCAACUGACGCUGAGGCACGAAAGCGUGGGGAUCAAACAGG
This 252-nucleotide ribosomal RNA is filed under the name uncultured bacterium. Its description in RNAcentral is "partial 16S ribosomal RNA". It matches the Rfam family "Bacterial small subunit ribosomal RNA", at positions 524 to 776 of the family's 1533-position model. The record is from RNAcentral.